UAGGGAAUCUUCCGCAAUGGACGCAAGUCUGACGGAGCAACGCCGCGUGAGUGAUGAAGGUUUUCGGAUCGUAAAGCUCUGUUGCCCUAGACGAACAGCAUGAGGAGUAACUGCCUUGUGUGUGACGGUAUAGGGGAAGAAAGCCCCGGCUAACUACGUGCCAGCAGCCGCGGUAAUACGUAGGGGGCAAGCGUUGUCCGGAAUUAUUGGGCGUAAAGCGCGCGCAGGCGGUCAAUUAAGUUGGGUGUUUAA
This 252-nucleotide ribosomal RNA is filed under the name uncultured Paenibacillus sp. Its description in RNAcentral is "partial 16S ribosomal RNA". It matches the Rfam family "Bacterial small subunit ribosomal RNA", at positions 355 to 599 of the family's 1533-position model. The record is from RNAcentral. Lineage: Bacteria; Bacillati; Bacillota; Bacilli; Caryophanales; Paenibacillaceae.